CCACAUUCUGUUUGGAUAGUCAUCAGAUGGUUUCAGACAGGUCCGGAUGGCGUUCUGUCGAAUACUCAAGGAGAGAUCAUCUAGAGACCUACAAACCUCUCUCUCUGCGGCUUUCUUCUUCCCCAUGGUCUGCACUGAGAAUUCCAGACUCCUAGGCUUCCCUUGGCUCCCAGUCUUAUUAAACUUCAUUAGACGAUGCCAGAUUAUUAGUUUGUUUUCUAGACUAUGUAGCCCAAGCUGGCUUCAAACUUUCUAUCCUUC
Molecule: long non-coding RNA, 261 nt
Filed under: Cricetulus griseus (Chinese hamster)
Lineage: Eukaryota; Metazoa; Chordata; Mammalia; Rodentia; Cricetidae
Description: lncRNA (ENSCGRG00015034603.1)
Source: RNAcentral